GACGAACGCUGGCGGCGUGCUUAACACAUGCAAGUCGAGCGGUAAGGCCCUUUCGGGGGUACACGAGCGGCGAACGGGUGAGUAACACGUGGGUGACCUGCCCUUAGCUCUGGGAUAAGCCUGGGAAACUGGGUCUAAUACCGGAUAUGACUCCAUGACGCAUGUUGUGGGGUGGAAAGCCUUGUGCGGCUGAGGAUGGGCCCGCGGCCUAUCAGCUUGUUGGUGGGGUGAUGGCCUACCAAGGCGACGACGGGUAGCCGGCCUGAGAGGGCGACCGGCCACACUGGGACUGAGAUACGGCCCAGACUCCUACGGGAGGCAGCAGUGGGGAAUCUUGCGCAAUGGGCGAAAGCCUGACGCAGCGACGCCGCGUGAGGGAUGACGGCCUGG
This 390-nucleotide ribosomal RNA is filed under the name uncultured bacterium. Its description in RNAcentral is "bacterial SSU rRNA". It matches the Rfam family "Bacterial small subunit ribosomal RNA", at positions 28 to 419 of the family's 1533-position model. The record is from RNAcentral.